AGCGAACGCUGGCGGCAGGCCUAAUACAUGCAAGUCGAGCGGGUCCUUCGGGAUUAGCGGCGGACGGGUGAGUAACGCGUGGGAACGUGCCCUUUGGUACGGAACAACUGAGGGAAACUUCAGCUAAUACCGUAUGUGCCCUUUGGGGGAAAGAUUUAUCGCCAUUGGAGCGGCCCGCGUUGGAUUAGGUAGUUGGUGAGGUAAAGGCUCACCAAGCCUACGAUCCAUAGCUGGUCUGAGAGGAUGACCAGCCACACUGGGACUGAGACACGGCCCAGACUCCUACGGGAGGCAGCAGUAGGGAAUCUUGCGCAAUGGGCGAAAGCCUGACGCAGCCAUGCCGCGUGAAUGAUGAAGGUCUUAGGAUUGUAAAAUUCCUUCACCGGGGACGAUAAUGACGGUACCCGGAGAAGAAGCCCCGGCUAACUUCGUGCCAGCAGCCGCGGUAAU
RNAcentral lists this ribosomal RNA (450 nucleotides) under uncultured bacterium. RNAcentral describes it as "bacterial SSU rRNA". It matches the Rfam family "Bacterial small subunit ribosomal RNA", at positions 29 to 524 of the family's 1533-position model. The record is from RNAcentral.